GUCAAAGCUACCUAGAUGUCCUCAUACAAAUUACAAGCUAUGAUGUCCACCUCAUUCUCUUUCUGGAAGGCUGACCUUAACUGUCCUGCACAUUCCUGACAGAGCAUAUUUGCCCUUUUCCUAUACUAAUAAGCCCUAAAUCUUGUGGGUAACAGCCUGGGGAACUACCUGUCUUGCUACCACUCAAGACCAUGCUUCUGUCCACAAAUUCCCCC
RNAcentral lists this long non-coding RNA (215 nucleotides) under Pongo abelii (Sumatran orangutan). RNAcentral describes it as "lincRNA". Lineage: Eukaryota; Metazoa; Chordata; Mammalia; Primates; Hominidae. The record is from RNAcentral.